Molecule: long non-coding RNA, 225 nt
Organism: Suricata suricatta (meerkat)
Lineage: Eukaryota; Metazoa; Chordata; Mammalia; Carnivora; Herpestidae
Exons: 3
Source: RefSeq, a predicted model, not a curated record
CUGAGAAAAGCUGCAAGAGUUGGUCUUUGACAAAACACAAGGAGUCCAGAGAUGCAGUUGAAUCCAGGAAGAAGAGCACUCACUUCCUGUUGGGGCGCCUGAGGAAGAUAAGACGCCCUCUUUGUUUGCGGCUACUGCCUCCGAGUAGGCGACUGAGGAAUCUUCUAGGCCCAAGCACACGUCAAGGGAUCUGCAUCUCCUGAUCCUGUCUAUACUCCUGCCUCC